Molecule: transfer-messenger RNA, 137 nt
Filed under: Zoogloea sp.
Lineage: Bacteria; Pseudomonadati; Pseudomonadota; Betaproteobacteria; Rhodocyclales; Zoogloeaceae
Description: partial transfer-messenger RNA
Rfam family: transfer-messenger RNA
About the family: Bacterial tmRNA, also known as 10Sa RNA or SsrA, is named for its dual tRNA and mRNA-like properties.
Source: RNAcentral
GAAACUCAAGGUGACUCGCUUGUGGUCGGCCUGCCGAUUGGCUAAACCACGGGUUAAACCCAAAUAGGUCGGCUAAGUAUGUAGAACUGACUGUAGAGGACUUGCGGACGGGGGUUCGAUUCCCCCCGGCUCCACCA